CCUACGGGAGGCAGCAGUGAGGAAUAUUGGUCAAUGGGCGUAAGCCUGAACCAGCCAAGUCGCGUGAGGGAUGAAGGUUCUAUGGAUCGUAAACCUCUUUUAUCAGGGAAUAAAGUGCGGGACGUGUCCCGUUUUGUAUGUACCUUAUGAAUAAGGAUCGGCUAACUCCGUGCCAGCAGCCGCGGUAAUACGGAGGAUCCGAGCGUUAUCCGGAUUUAUUGGGUUUAAAGGGUGCGUAGGCGGCAGUUUAAGUCAGCGGGUAAAGUCUGGGGCCCAACCAUAGAAUUGCCGUUGAAACUGGGAGGCUUGAGUAUGGUUGAGGCAGGCGGAAUGCGGGGUGUAGCGGUGAAAUGCUUAGAUAUCACGCAGAACCCCGAUUGCGAAGGCAGCCUGCCAAGCCAUGACUGACGCUGAUGCACGAAAGCGUGGGUAUCAAACAGGAUUAGAUACCCCUGUAGUC
This 460-nucleotide ribosomal RNA is filed under the name uncultured bacterium. RNAcentral describes it as "partial 16S ribosomal RNA". It matches the Rfam family "Bacterial small subunit ribosomal RNA", at positions 338 to 795 of the family's 1533-position model. The record is from RNAcentral.